RNAcentral lists this microRNA precursor (98 nucleotides) under Microtus ochrogaster (prairie vole). Its description in RNAcentral is "miRNA (ENSMOCG00000006943.1)". Lineage: Eukaryota; Metazoa; Chordata; Mammalia; Rodentia; Cricetidae. The record is from RNAcentral.
UGUCUUUCUUUCCCUGGGACCUGGGGGGACUGUGACUUGAAUGUGAAUCCUACAAUGUGGCUCCACGCUGUGUCCCUGAGUGGGGCCAGGUCUCAGCC